Molecule: long non-coding RNA, 540 nt
Filed under: Trifolium pratense (red clover)
Lineage: Eukaryota; Viridiplantae; Streptophyta; Magnoliopsida; Fabales; Fabaceae
Description: long non-coding RNA (TPRA_LNC007644)
Source: RNAcentral
AGGAAAAAAAAAAUCAGCAAAACUUGGUAAGACAAAGUUUCAAUCAUUGAGGAAUUCAUCAAAUUAUCAAUAGCUGCUGCAGCUAAACAACUGUGGAGUGAUUUUUGUAUUGUGUUGAUAGCUUGCCCGAGGAAUCAAAACUCGGUAAAUAUAAUGUGUAAAUUACUGUACUCAAGUUCUUGUAAAGAGAAAAGGUCUCAAAAUUGAUCUGACCAAAAAGAUGUCUCAAUUGAUGCUUUGCCGGGAAAAUCUUGAAUUUAGUGAAGUAGUUUGUGUUUGAUAUUUUAUCUGGUAAUGGUGUACUGCAGAAAAAGUAUUUACCAUCCAUUUUCCUUGUGGAGGUUGGAUUACCAUGAAGAAAUAAAGUAUACUUUUACAAUAACCUCUUUGAUUUUUCACGAGUUUCAUGUUAGCAAAUUUAUUAAUUAAUCCGGAAGUUAGAGGACUGAAAAAUGCCUUAUUUAACGCCUUGACAUGCAUGAUGUAUGCACUACUUUUGUCAAUAUCUAUCAAAGGAUUCCAUCCUUUUCAAUGAACGGA